Molecule: ribosomal RNA, 345 nt
Filed under: Triticum aestivum (bread wheat)
Lineage: Eukaryota; Viridiplantae; Streptophyta; Magnoliopsida; Poales; Poaceae
Description: partial small subunit ribosomal RNA
Source: RNAcentral
AUGUUUCCCGAAAUGUUUGGGUACGAGAACACAUUAUUUGGGCCAAAGGGAAAGCCCACAAGGUUUUUGGAAAGCGCAAAAGGAAGUUUUGAGGAGUCCAGGGGCCAGACGCCAGGGUCCCUGGCGUCUGGGUCCAAACGCCGGGAACCCUGGCGUCUGGCCCUGGAGUCCGAGAAGGACUCUUGCCUUUCGGGUGAAACCGACUUUGUGGAGGCUUUUACUCCAAGUUUCGACCCCAAGGCUCAACAUAUAAAUAAAGGGGCAGGGCUAGCACCAAAGACACAUCAAGAAACACCAAGCCGUGUGCCGGCAACCCCUUCCCCUCUAGUUUAUCCUCCGUCAUAG